Molecule: long non-coding RNA, 237 nt
Filed under: Setaria italica (foxtail millet)
Lineage: Eukaryota; Viridiplantae; Streptophyta; Magnoliopsida; Poales; Poaceae
Description: long non-coding RNA (SITA_LNC007240)
Source: RNAcentral
GCAGCGGAAGAGAAAGGAGGAGCGUCCCCUGUUCCGGGAGCAGGGGAAGUUACAACUCCGCCUUCCCCAGCGGGAGGAUCCCCUGUUCCAGGAGCAGGGGAAGCUGCGGGCGGAGCAGAAGAGCAGGCGGAAGGAGGCGGCACACCGGUGACACCAGCCAAGGGGGUGUAGUACGUCACGCCACCACCCGUGAUCUCUCCACACCUCAAUGCCAGCUACGAUGGGAAGCUGCUCCGG